AUCGGCCACAUUGGAACUGAGACACGGUCCAAACUCCUACGGGAGGCAGCAGUGGGGAAUAUUGCACAAUGGGCGAAAGCCUGAUGCAGCAACGCCGCGGGAGUGAUGAAGGCCUUCGGGUCGUAAAGCUCUGUCCUCAAGGAAGAUAAUGACGGUACUUGAGGAGGAAGCCCCGGCUAACUACGUGCCAGCAGCCGCGGUAAUACGUAGGGGGCUAGCGUUAUCCG
This 227-nucleotide ribosomal RNA is filed under the name Clostridioides difficile. RNAcentral describes it as "partial 16S ribosomal RNA". It matches the Rfam family "Bacterial small subunit ribosomal RNA", at positions 303 to 547 of the family's 1533-position model. The record is from RNAcentral. Lineage: Bacteria; Bacillati; Bacillota; Clostridia; Peptostreptococcales; Peptostreptococcaceae.